CUGCCCCCGACUAGAUCUAGCCCAAAUCCCCUUCUGCUCCGACCCCAGACCCCGCCGACCACCUUCCAUCGCCCGACCCUAGCCGCCGCAGACCCCAGAACCUGCUGACUACCCUCCACCGCGCGACCCCAGCUGCCCCGACCACCCAUCGCAGCAGCCUCCUCCCGGACCACCAUUGCCGCCGAGGGAUCCUGCCGCCGGGCACCUUCCUCUACCGCGCGGCGUCAAAUACCCUCCUCCGCAGAUCUCGUCCGCCCGCCGCCUAAAUGUCGCCUCUCCGCCUCGCUUUCUCCCCAGACAGCACCGUCUCCUUGGCAUCUCUCCUGAACUGCCGAGAUGAGGCGUAUGCGGACUAGGGUUUGGGCCGCCUGCCCUCCUGGUCGACCUCCUCCGGCCAGUGCUCCUCUGCCCCUGGUCGACCUCGACGUCGUGCUUCCCAGUCCAUCGUCCUUUGUCCAUGCUCCCCCCAGUUCGUGCUCCUCAGGUCUCCUCCUCUUGUACUUCCAGCCCGAGAAUCACAGGUCAACAGAUGUUUGUCUCAAAACGACAGAAUGAAUCAUCUUUUGAUGGUGCUCAAGUCAUGGGCAUAGAUGCAUCUAACCAAAUAAUACUUGCUUCUGGAAGGCACCUGGUGUAGGUGGAGAACAUGUUCUUAGAGAGUUGCAGGUCUUUGUAUAUUUCCACAAUUAUGGAGGGCGUGGUUUAGCUGCGUUUUUCAGAGCAUUGCAAGUUUGGUGACUCUUCUGGGGGAGUCAUGUGGCUCUUUUUGAAUGAUGGCGUUUCAUAGGAUGGUGGCAAGUCUGGUAUUUAGAAGACAUUUUAUGAAGCCUGAGGGAGUCCUGGAUUAGGGGGUGUCCGGAUAGCCGGAAUUAUACCUUCGGCCGGACUCCUGGGCUAUGAAGAUAUAAGAUUGAAAACUUCGUCCCGUGUUUGGAAGGGACUUUCC
Long non-coding RNA from Triticum dicoccoides, 946 nucleotides. RefSeq lists it as uncharacterized. NCBI's taxonomy places the organism in Eukaryota, Viridiplantae, Streptophyta, Magnoliopsida, Poales, Poaceae. The record is from RefSeq and is a predicted model, not a curated record. The transcript has 4 exons.